Alligator mississippiensis (American alligator) is the source of this 2471-nucleotide long non-coding RNA. RefSeq lists it as uncharacterized. NCBI's taxonomy places the organism in Eukaryota, Metazoa, Chordata, Crocodylia, Alligatoridae. The transcript has 2 exons. The record is from RefSeq and is a predicted model, not a curated record.
UGCAGCUGGGAACAUGUCAUGGAUUACAGCCCCCAGUUACCUCUUGCUCUGGAAGGGGAGGAGGCUGCCUUGUUCCCCAGAGCUACCACCCCCCAACACAUGGCCCCUUCAGAACCAUGUUCCAGCUACAUUUUACUGGUUGCAAUGAGGCAAGGACAGACACUGAGGCAACGUGAGCAGCAGGAUCCUAUCUCCCAGACACAGAGACCACGACUAUGACUAGCAGGCACAGCCUGUUUCUCACCAAAGUCCUGGGAAUUUUGGGCCCCAAGAAGCAGGGGGCUCCGCCUCAGCUGCUCUUCUACAAGCAGCCCCUUCCUCCAACAAGUGGGGCUUCCUCUCAUUGCAUGGCCCCAUGGAAAAGGGUUUCUAACACUUGGUGAAACGAGGCCCUAGAACAGAGUCCACAUAAGAGUACUGGGGGCAGGAAGCCUGAAAAGUCCUGCUAGGACUGCGACCUGCCUUAUGAACAAGACUGUGUUUUGCUGCAACAGCGAUGGAUGGGCUGUGCCCAUCUCUUCCAAGAUGUCCAUUCAAUGGAUGCUCCCACCUGCAGGGCUGGGCCCCAGAGCCUCCUUCUGGUCUGGAUUUGCUUCCCACCUGCUCCUGAGCCCGUAUUCCCACCCUGCCCCGGGGGGCAGGCAGAGCUAAAGGUCAAGGCAGAGGUGGAGGAGGGGCUGUCUCUGUCCUUGCCCAAGGCACUGCCUAAGCAGCACUAAAGCAGCAACAUCUGAGGGGGAGGCCAGGAACCCGCUCGCAAACAGACACUUGGACCCCACAGUCAAGGGCUGUAUUAAAAUGGGACGAAAUGAAAUGUACUGCCCCGCUCAUCUCCGGACCUGACCCUGCCGGCCCCUGCUUGGCGCUUUGAAUGGUGGCUACAGGUUUCCCUCGCUUUAUGCGGGUUCUGUUUGUGCGAAUUCGUUCUUACAUGAUGACCCUUUUUAUACCAAAAUGUUGUUAUGUACGAGGUAAAUUCACUUAUGCGAUUUUUGCGGUGGAAACCCACAGGCAGCUGCUUUGUGCGGUGCAUUGUGGGAGUGGUGCACACCAAAAUACAGUCUGUGUGGAUCUGUGCUUCUUGCUCGUUGUCUGCGACACGUGUUUCUGUAGUUGCCAUCCCCACAUUCACCACCACCCUGUGCUUGUGUGUACUGUCUGCUGUUGGCAAGUACCAAAAUUGUCUGUAAAAGUGGUAGAAAUAGGUCUGGGGGUCAGUACAGUCAAUGUCCUGGAAUGUAUCCCUGUUUGUUACAUUGUAAAGUGGGUCCCCUUUAUGCCAAUUUGAGUUAUGCACCAUUUUCUAGAAACUCAUGUACAGCAUAAAGGAAGGGAAACCUGUACGAAAAGUCACCAAACCACCCAGGGGGCUGGCAGUGGGCUGCCCUGUUGGGGAGGGAGACACCCUGGGACCUGGAGGGGUGGUUGGCGGCAAACCCAGUCAGUCCUCUCCCACACUUGGCUCACUCUGCAAGUCAGGUACGCUCUUGUUUUAUACACUGCUCUCUCAAAGGGAGUGGGUUCCUCAGGCUACUUGAUGAAUCUUACAGGAUGAAUCCCAGCCCGGCCUGUCUCUUCCUCCUGGUCCCCCUCCUUGCAUGACAGCUGUUCCAGCAGAGCCAGAUGUUUCCAGUACAGUGUGUGAUGCCACUUUGGCAGUGGCAGAACCUGGCCCUAGAAAGUUCAUGUUCAGUUAUAAUUCGGACAGACUGACGGUGUUCUUCUGAGGAACGCAAGGGAGAAAAAGGCAGUGUUGAUAGUGUGUUCAUAUGUUUUGCAAAAGCUAAAUGGAAUUUCAUGGGACAAAGACAAGGCCCUUCUCUAGCCUAAGGGUGUUCGGGCAGCUGAAUGCUGUAUCCCUGCUGCAAACAAUGUUUGUUAUAAGCUUGUUAUACUACAACAAAGCUUUUUCCAAUAAGAGCAUGUUAUAAUAGACAGCUGUCUGCAGUGCUAGUGCCAUUUCCUUCCCUGGGGAGAAUGCUGUGUUCAGCCACAAUUAACCUUUAUGGUAUUUCUUUCUUCUGUGACCAAGCCACAGGUGGUGCUCUUCCUUCCCCAACAUACAUGACUCAGAGGAAGGAGCUGGAUAGGUGGUCCAAAUAGCCAUAUCUGCCAUAUGUGCACAACAUGCAAGCCCCAGGAACAUGUACACUUCUUCCCUGGCCAGUUUCAGCAAGCACAGUGAGUGCCACAAGAAAGCAUACAAACUGUUUCGAAAGACACUGCCCUGCCAUUCCCACUGGACCUAGGAGUAUUUUGUUAAUAUAAACCUUAUGUUUGCAUAAGAAGUUGUAGCACCAUAAGAAGUUUAGUCCUUCCAGUCUAAUUAUAGCAGUAUGAUCCUCAGCAUGGAUGUUCUUAUACUGGUAGAUUUUGUCCCUGUACAGGAAGGGAAUAAGUUCUGUUGUGGCUGUAUAAUUGAGUCCGCAUGAGCAUUUAUUUUAACUGCAAAAUAAACAACUCUGGUUUAA